RNAcentral lists this microRNA precursor (125 nucleotides) under Daucus carota subsp. sativus. RNAcentral's name for it is "sRNA DCAR_mi00164". Lineage: Eukaryota; Viridiplantae; Streptophyta; Magnoliopsida; Apiales; Apiaceae. The record is from RNAcentral.
UGGUAUAUUGGUUGAUGCACACUGCAAAGAAGGGAGGACAAAAGAUGCGGAAGAUGUGAUUGAAAUUAUGAUCCGGAAAGGUGUAACUCCGAAUGUAAUCACCUACAGUACACUUAUGGAUGGAU